UGGUUCUGGCAUCGAUGAAGAACGCAGCGAAAUGCGAUAAGUAAUGUGAAUUGCAGAAUUCAGUGAAUCAUCGAAUCUUUGAACGCACAUUGCGCCCCUUGGUAUUCCGAGGGGCAUGCCUGUUCGAGCGUCAUUACAACCCAUCAAGCUCUGCUUGGCCUUGGGCUCCGCCCCCGCGAGGGGACGGGCUCUAAAGAACUCAGCGGUGCCGUGAGGCCCCGAGGCGUAGUAAAUUCUAUCCCGCUUCGUGGACCUCGCGCGUGCCCGCUUCCAAUGACCAACACCUUCUAGGUUGACCUCGGAUCAGGUAGGGAUACCCGCUGA
RNAcentral lists this unclassified non-coding RNA (324 nucleotides) under uncultured fungus. RNAcentral describes it as "partial contains 5.8S ribosomal RNA and internal transcribed spacer 2". The stretch from base 1 to 133 matches the Rfam family "5.8S ribosomal RNA", at positions 22 to 154 of the family's 154-position model. Lineage: Eukaryota; Fungi. The record is from RNAcentral.